AUGGCGUACGCCGACGUUAAGGAGCACAAGGCCGUCAAGGGCGCUCUGGAGUGCGCCGUCUGCCUCAGCGAGUUCGACGACGACGAGACGCUCCGCCUCCUGCCCAACGUCCAUCCCGCUUCGCAGCCGCCGCAAGAAGUGCCACCGCCAGCUUCUGCAACGGAGGCAGCACCCACCGUCGUCAUCGACGCGGAGGAGAGCGGGGACGAGAGGAUCAUACGGGAAGAGACGGACGAACUGGCGUGCAUCGGCAGCCUGAAACGCGCGCUGCGCUCCAAGUCCAGCCGCGCGCCCACGCAUUUCUCGCGUUCGCACUCGACUGGGCACUCGCUCGCUGCGCGAGCCAGCAUCUGCACCGGCCCCGGCGCCGGCGUCAAGAGGUUCACGCUGCGGCUGCCCGAGCCGGAGCACGCGGGCAGACUACGGCGCAUGAAGAGCCUCGUCGCGUUCACUGCCGGCCGCCAGGGCAGCACGUACCGUUCACUCCGACUAUGCGGCGAGCCGGCGACGGCAGCUGCCGCAGCGGCACGAGCGGCCGGCUGGGCCAGUCAGGCCGGUGGCCAUCUUUCUUGUCGCGGACUUUCUCCGCGGCGUGGGGGGCGAGGUCCACCCGGAGUGCCGAGUUGGACGGCUCGAGCAAGGGCGGGAAGCCGGCCGGCGCCGGCGGCAAGUCAGUGGACUGCAAAGACCACUAGACCAGGCGUGCGCUGCUGA
This 714-nucleotide ribosomal RNA is filed under the name Triticum aestivum (bread wheat). RNAcentral's name for it is "partial small subunit ribosomal RNA". The record is from RNAcentral. Lineage: Eukaryota; Viridiplantae; Streptophyta; Magnoliopsida; Poales; Poaceae.